UUCAACCAUUAUUAUAACCACAACAUGAUCACCACUAUAUAUUAUCGCCAUCGUCGCUCCCGCCACCGUCGAUAUGGAAACAUACCAUUACCGCCGCCGCCGCCACCGUCGCUGCCACUACAAUCGUUAUUUUACUGUAACCACUAUUAUCACAUAUUAUCUAUCUAGUAUUCACCGACCGUCCCUAGAGCAAGUGGCAAAAAGCUUGGUGGUUGGUAUUCGAGACCCAAGUUCGAAUCCUAGUUGAUUCAUAUUUUCAGCUAAGUUUAUUUCUAAAUGAAAUAAACGAAGCGAGUAGCGUGCUACCUAUCUCUCUCAAAA
RNAcentral lists this long non-coding RNA (321 nucleotides) under Ananas comosus (pineapple). RNAcentral describes it as "long non-coding RNA (ACOM_LNC012798)". Lineage: Eukaryota; Viridiplantae; Streptophyta; Magnoliopsida; Poales; Bromeliaceae. The record is from RNAcentral.